CCUUCCGGUGAGCCUUCGUUUAACGGACGCGGUAAACGUGCAAAGGUAGCUAAAUUAUGGCCUAUUAAUUGUAGGCCCUGUGAAUGGUUUGACGAGUCUUCAACUGUCUCUAGUUUGGUUUGGUGAACUUGAAUUGGAAGUGCAAAUGCUUCUGUGGGUAAGAAAGACGAGAAGACCCCGUGAAGUUAGAAAUUAGGUUAGGGGGGUGCAAUUUUGGCUGGGGCAGCAAAGGAGCAAAACUAGACUCCUCUCAGUCGGGUGCGUGUGAUCCACAGUGUUGUGAUUAUCAGAAAAAGUUACUCCGGGGAUAACAGCGUUAUCACCCCGAUAGUUCUUAUAGACGGGUAGGUUUGCGACCUCGAUGUUGCUCUGGGUACCCUGGGGCUUGAGGAGGUCCUAACGGUUGGUUCGUU
Molecule: ribosomal RNA, 413 nt
Filed under: Juxtamusium coudeini
Lineage: Eukaryota; Metazoa; Mollusca; Bivalvia; Pectinida; Pectinidae
Description: partial 16S ribosomal RNA
Rfam family: Bacterial large subunit ribosomal RNA
Source: RNAcentral